AACGAACGCUGGCGGCAGGCCUAACACAUGCAAGUCGAGCGAGGACUUCGGUCCUAGCGGCGAACGGGUGAGUAACGCGUGGGAACGUGCCCUUUGCUACGGAAUAGCCCCGGGAAACUGGGAGUAAUACCGUAUGUGCUCGAGAGAGGAAAGAUUUAUCGGCAAAGGAUCGGCCCGCGUUGGAUUAGGUAGUUGGUGGGGUAAUGGCCUACCAAGCCGACGAUCCAUAGCCGGUUUGAGAGGAUGAUCAGCCACACUGGGACUGAGACACGGCCCAGACUCCUACGGGAGGCAGCAGUGGGGAAUUUUAGACAAUGGGCGCAAGCCUGAUCUAGCCAUGCCGCGUGAGCGACGAAGGCCUUAGGGUUGUAAAGCUCUUUCAGGUGGGAAGAUAAUGACUGUACCACCAGAAGAAGCCCCGGCUAACUCCGUGCCAGCAGCCGCGGUAA
This 449-nucleotide ribosomal RNA is filed under the name uncultured bacterium. RNAcentral's name for it is "partial 16S ribosomal RNA". It matches the Rfam family "Bacterial small subunit ribosomal RNA", at positions 29 to 523 of the family's 1533-position model. The record is from RNAcentral.